RNAcentral lists this transfer RNA (68 nucleotides) under Trapezia garthi. Its description in RNAcentral is "tRNA-Met". Lineage: Eukaryota; Metazoa; Arthropoda; Malacostraca; Decapoda; Trapeziidae. The record is from RNAcentral.
UAAAAGAUAAGCUAAAUUUAAGCUAAUGGGCUCAUAACCCGUAAAUGAAAUAUAACUUUCUCUUUUAA